Rhincodon typus (whale shark) is the source of this 102-nucleotide small nuclear RNA. The record is from RefSeq and is a predicted model, not a curated record. Lineage: Eukaryota; Metazoa; Chordata; Chondrichthyes; Orectolobiformes; Rhincodontidae.
GAUGGACUUCAACAGCACAUACUGAAAUUGGAAUGAUACAGAGAAGAUUAGCAUGGCCCCUGCGCAAGGAUGACGUGAAUUUGUGAAGUGUCCCUUUUUUUC